This 255-nucleotide ribosomal RNA is filed under the name Enterococcus faecium. RNAcentral describes it as "partial 16S ribosomal RNA". It matches the Rfam family "Bacterial small subunit ribosomal RNA", at positions 60 to 293 of the family's 1533-position model. The record is from RNAcentral. Lineage: Bacteria; Bacillati; Bacillota; Bacilli; Lactobacillales; Enterococcaceae.
AGUCGAACGCUUCUUUUUCCACCGGAGCUUGCUCCACCGGAAAAAGAGGAGUGGCGAACGGGUGAGUAACACGUGGGUAACCUGCCCAUCAGAAGGGGAUAACACUUGGAAACAGGUGCUAAUACCGCAUAACAAUCAAAACCGCAUGGUUUUGAUUUGAAAGGCGCUUUCGGGUGUCGCUGAUGGAUGGACCCGCGGUGCAUUAGCUAGUUGGUGAGGUAACGGCUCACCAAGGCCACGAUGCAUAGCCGACCU